This 503-nucleotide ribosomal RNA is filed under the name uncultured bacterium. RNAcentral describes it as "bacterial SSU rRNA". It matches the Rfam family "Bacterial small subunit ribosomal RNA", at positions 8 to 526 of the family's 1533-position model. The record is from RNAcentral.
AGAGUUUGAUCCUGGCUCAGAAUCAACGCUGGCGGCGUGCCUGACACAUGCAAGUCGAACGAGAAAGUGGAGCAAUCCAUGAGUACAGUGGCGAACGGGUGAGUAACACGUGACUAACCUGCCUUCGAGUGGGGGAUAACCUCGGGAAACCGGGGCUAAUACCGCAUAAGAUCCUAAGGGUGCAAUUCCCAUGGGACCAAAGGGGUAAGACGCUUGAAGAGGGGGUCGCGGCUGAUUAGCUAGUUGGUGAGGUAACGGCUCACCAAGGCGAAGAUCGGUAGCCGGCCUGAGAGGGCGCACGGCCACACUGGAACUGAAACACGGUCCAGACUCCUACGGGAGGCAGCAGUGGGGAAUUUUGCGCAAUGGGGGAAACCCUGACGCAGCAACGCCGCGUGGAGGAUGAAGCCCUUUGGGGCGUAAACUCCUUUCGAUCGGGACGAUUAUGACGGUACCGGAUGAAGAAGCACCGGCUAACUCUGUGCCAGCAGCCGCGGUAAUAC